GACGAACGCUGGCGGCGUGGAUUAGGCAUGCAAGUCGAACGGUAGGAUACCUUCGGGUAUCUGAGAGUGGCGAACGGGUGAGUAACACGUAGGUGAUCUACCCUCAAGAUUGGGACAACCCAGGGAAACUUGGGCUAAUACCGGAUGAAAGCAGCAGUGAUGUUGUUUGAAAGGUGGCGUAAGCUGCCGUUUGGGGAUGAGCCUGCGCUCUAUUAGUUAGUUGGCGGGGUAAAGGCCCACCAAGGCGAUGAUAGAUAGGCGGCCUUAACGGGUGGUCGCCCACACUGGGAUUGAGAUACGGCCCAGACUCCUACGGGAGCAGCAGUCGAGAAUAGUCUACAAUGGUCGGAAGACUGAUAGUGCGACGCCGCGUGAACGAUGAAUCCCUUCGGGUGUAAAGUUCUUUUAUAUGUGAGCAGUGCUUCUUAUAUUAACAGUAUGGGGAGAGAGAUAUUAGCAUAUGAAUAAGCAACGGCUAACUCCGUGCCAGCAGCCG
Molecule: ribosomal RNA, 496 nt
Filed under: uncultured bacterium
Lineage: Bacteria
Description: bacterial SSU rRNA
Rfam family: Bacterial small subunit ribosomal RNA
Source: RNAcentral